Molecule: transfer RNA, 76 nt
Filed under: Flagellimonas sediminis
Lineage: Bacteria; Pseudomonadati; Bacteroidota; Flavobacteriia; Flavobacteriales; Flavobacteriaceae
Description: tRNA-Lys
Rfam family: tRNA
About the family: Transfer RNA (tRNA) molecules are approximately 80 nucleotides in length. Their secondary structure includes four short double-helical elements and three loops (D, anti-codon, and T loops).
Source: RNAcentral
GACCUGGUAGCUCAGCUGGUAGAGCAUUUCACUUUUAAUGAAAGGGUCCCGGGUUCGAGCCCCGGCCAGGUCACCA